Molecule: ribosomal RNA, 406 nt
Filed under: uncultured bacterium
Lineage: Bacteria
Description: partial 16S ribosomal RNA
Rfam family: Bacterial small subunit ribosomal RNA
Source: RNAcentral
AUCGAACGCUGGCGGCAGGCCUAACACAUGCAAGUCGAGCGAGCGGCGGACGGGUGAGUAAUGUAUGGGGCUCUGCCUGAUGGCGGGGGAUAACUACUGGAAACGGUAGCUAAUACCGAAUACCAUCAGAUGAACCUAUAUGGGAUUAGCUUGUGGGUGAGGUAACGGCUUACCUAGGCGAAGAGCCCUAGCUGGUCUGAGAGGAUGAUCAGCACCACGGGGACUGGGACACGGCCCAGACUCCUACGGGAGGCAGCAGAGGGGAAUAUUGCACAAGGGGCGCAAGCCUGAUGCAGCAAUGCCGCGUGGAUGAAGAAGGCCUUCGGGUUGUAAAGUACUUUCAGUCGGGAGGCGUUACCGACCGAAGAAGCACCGGCUAACUCCGUGCCAGCAGCCGCGGUAAUUC